AUUGAACGCUGGCGGCAGGCCUAACACAUGCAAGUCGAGCGGAUGAGGGAGGAUUGCUCCUGUAACCAGCGGCGGACGGGGGAGUGAUGCCUAGGAAAUUGCCUGCUUGUAGGGGAGAACGUCAGGCAACGGGCGGGAAUACCGCAUACGUCCUGAGGGAGAAAGGGGGGGAUGCUCGGACAUCGGGCUAUCGGAGGAGCCGAGGUCGGAUUAGCUAGUUGGUGGGGUAAAGGCCGACCAAGGCGAGGAUCCGUAACUGGUCUGAGAGGAUGAUCAGUCACACUGGAACUGAGACACGGUCCAGACUCCUACGGGAGGCAGCAGUGGGGAAUAUUGGACAAUGGGCGAAAGGCUGAUCCAGCCAUGCCGCGUGUGUGAAGCAGGUCUUCGGAUUGUAAAGCACUUUAAGUUGGGAGGAAGGGCAGUAAGUUAAUACCUUGCUGUUUUGACGUUACCAACAGAAUAAGCACCGGCUAACUUCGUG
RNAcentral lists this ribosomal RNA (484 nucleotides) under uncultured bacterium. Its description in RNAcentral is "partial 16S ribosomal RNA". It matches the Rfam family "Bacterial small subunit ribosomal RNA", at positions 29 to 507 of the family's 1533-position model. The record is from RNAcentral.